CAGUACGUUUCCAAGGGCUAUGGCUGGUUGUGGCCAUGGGAUCUCCAACUGAUGGGUAGCAUU
Molecule: small nucleolar RNA, 63 nt
Filed under: Peromyscus maniculatus bairdii (prairie deer mouse)
Lineage: Eukaryota; Metazoa; Chordata; Mammalia; Rodentia; Cricetidae
Description: Small nucleolar RNA SNORA44 (ENSPEMG00000025890.1)
Source: RNAcentral